CCUACGGGUGGCAGCAGUGAGGAAUAUUGGUCAAUGGACGAGAGUCUGAACCAGCCAAGUAGCGUGAAGGAUGACUGCCCUAUGGGUUGUAAACUUCUUUUAUAUGGGAAUAAAAUGUUCCACGUGUGGGAUUUUGUAUGUACCAUAUGACUAAGGAUCGGCUAACUCCGUGCCAGCAGCCGCGGUAAUACGGAGGAUCCGAGCGUUAUCCGGAUUUAUUGGGUUUAAAGGGAGCGUAGGUGGAUUGUUAAGUCAGUUGUGAAAGUUUGCGGCUCAACCGUAAAAUUGCAGUUGAAACUGGCAGUCUUGAGUACAGUAGAGGUGGGCGGAAUUCGUGGUGUAGCGGUGAAAUGCUUAGAUAUCACGAAGAACUCCGAUUGCGAAGGCAGUUCACUGGACUGCAACUGACACUGAGGCUCGAAAGUGUGGGUAUCAAACAGGAUUAGAUACCCUUGUAGUC
RNAcentral lists this ribosomal RNA (460 nucleotides) under uncultured bacterium. RNAcentral's name for it is "partial 16S ribosomal RNA". It matches the Rfam family "Bacterial small subunit ribosomal RNA", at positions 338 to 795 of the family's 1533-position model. The record is from RNAcentral.